RNAcentral lists this long non-coding RNA (5724 nucleotides) under Sus scrofa (pig). Its description in RNAcentral is "lncRNA (ENSSSCG00025002199.1)". The stretch from base 34 to 309 matches the Rfam family "SOX2 overlapping transcript exon 3". Lineage: Eukaryota; Metazoa; Chordata; Mammalia; Artiodactyla; Suidae. The record is from RNAcentral.
AUAAACGAUUUUUCUUGUUGCAGGGGAUUGCAGUGGCAAAGCUAGGCUAGGUCUUGGAGGCUGGUGUAAGGCGAAGCGGGUGAAGGCAGGAGGCUGAUGGAGAGACUGAGGGGAAUAAAAGCCGAAAUGGAUUCACGGUGCCUUGGAUGGAGGACGAGAGGGGAAUUGCAAGCUCCUUCAACUCGUUCUGUCCGGUGAGAAGUGAUCAAGCUUGGGCUGACAAGAGGCUCAGGGAGCCCUCACGUUCUUUCGCUUUUUUACCUGCCAAUCAAACUGCUACAAGACAACACCCUGAUCUGGCAUGGACAUGGUACAGACAGGCAUGCAGAAGUAACUAGACGUCCAACACAUGCCAAGGUCUUGCGGGCCCAGGAUUUCGAACAAAAGAAAACUCGGUAACGUGACUGUAAAUCAAGGGCAUUUGAGACCAUAGACGCGCGCACCACUGCAAGGGUUAAUUGGAGGAGAGGGAAGAGAGAGGCUCCACCUUGCAGUCUGUGUGAACUUCGGCCAGAAAAAGAGCUGGAGCUCCAGCCGCCGCCGGUGGGAGCCCUGCAGUCCGCGGCACGCGGUCCCUUGUUGUGGGGCAGGUGUGGCGCCGGGUAGAGGCGGGGCGCAACCUGGAAACUGCCGCCUGAGCUGUGGCCCGCGCCCUGCCUACCCUUUGGCGCAUCUGUUUCUUUAUUGCCUGAAAGCCAUCCGACGCGUUGAAGGCGCGAUUAUCGACAAUUUGUCAGCCCGAUUUUGUCGCUUGCAAUAACUUUUGGUGAAGUUUCACUCUCAGGCCCUUGAGUUUCGGGAUGAGGAAAUGUGAUCCAACUUAGAAAUAAUGUUUCACUCAAGAUAAGGCUUGUGGUUUAGGAAGAUUCUGGCCUGGCUUGCUUCACUUUAAGUCUUCUAUCAUCUCUUUUCAAAACCUGAGGAGGACCUCAUUUCCUGUUUGAUAGUUCUUCAUGCUUUGCCAGCCUCCGGGUCUUUAAGGAAGCUUGCCAAGAGUUCCCGGCUGGGAAGGACAGUCUGAGUUCAUCAUAGAGAAUGAGCUGGCACCAGAGUUGUAGUGACUCACCAACCUCAUUGCCCACUCUGCAAUAGCAAGCACCACACUCUCUAAUUGAAAGACCUGUGUUUUAGUAAAGUGCAGUUGGAUCACAUGACAAAAUCAUCUCGAAAUAUAUUGCCAGUCUUUCCUUUCACUGGGUGUUUUGAACACAAGACAAGAAAGGAAAUUAAAUUCUGAAUUAUAUAUAUAUAUUUUUAAAUUAAGAUUAAUUAACAGAUACUUGGUUUUGUGUCCAUUCUGUUCUAGGAAUUUAGUGGUGAUUACAAAGCAGUGAAAAUAGGUCACAGCAAAGUGAACAUUCAAGAUUAGUUUAAAACAUUCCUCUGAAAUUUCAGUAUUCAUUUUUGGAGUGUCAGUUACUACAUUUCUGUAAUUCAUCAUUUUUCCUUACUUGGCUUAGAGUCAAGAUGAGAAAUGAUAUUUAGACCAAAGACAUUGUUUUGUUAUAUAGCCACUGCUUUUUAAAAUGCAAAACCACCCUCACCAGGGCUUAAUUGUUUGUGAGUGCUUCUGUUCACACACACACACACACACACACACACACACACACACACACACACACACUCUGUAUAAGGUCCUUUCAAGACUUCCAGGGCCUGGGUCAUGUAAGAAGUAGAUGAGAAAAUUCAGGGAGGGCCAGAGUAGUAACAACACUACAAGUCAGAGAUUUAACUUUACAAAAGGUUAUACGUUACACAGGCAUUUUUUUAAAGCAAGUAUUAAUAUGAUUAAAGAAUAUUUGACUUCUAAAUUAUUAUGAUUCUCAUCUAAUUUCAAGUCAUAUACAGGAGCCAUUUAAAAGUAUUUUGUAUUACAAUCUGUCACCAAAAUUCAACUAGUGGAGUUUUAUAAUGUGAUAGGUUUACCCCAUGGGGAAUUAAAUUUUAAUUCAUAAGUCUUUCUAUUGUUGUGGAACUUUAAGACAAGAUAGCAUUUGGUAUUAACAGAAAAAUAUUCUGUGGCUUUUUUUUUUUUUUUGAAGCUUUAAAUUGCUCUAAAAAAAGUUGCACCUUGAAUUUUUUCCUCUCAGCUUUCUUUUGUUAAGUGUAUCUUCAUGAUAUUGUUUUUAAUGUACAUAUUAUUUUACUAAGUCACUUGGUAAAAAAAUUUAGAAACAUGUAAUAAUGACCUCUUGCUUUUCUUCUAACUUUAUUAUUUCAAGUCAAGCAAAAAUGGAUACUUUUCUCCCAGAAAAAAAAAUUGCAUGUGUUUUUGAUGCAAAAAUGGUAAUUUAGUUACACUAUUUUAGAUUAGCAUUUAUGAUAGAUCUUAUUUCAAAGCUGAUUCUCAAAGAAAAUCAUAGAGAUAUUAGAAUAUUCCAAGUACAUUACAUUGUUGAAAAAGUAUUUUAAUACAUUAUUCAAAUUGUUGUCAGCUAUUAAUUUUUUAAAGUAGUAUCUGCUCCAAAUGUGAAAUUUUGCUUUUUUGAAAGAACUUACAAAUUCCAAUUUUGUUAGGAACAGCAGUGGAAAUUAAUAUAAAAGUCAUAGACAAUUUAGAGCUCCUUCAAUUUCCCCCCCCCCCCCUUUUAAACUUUAACUGUGAUAGGCAUCUCUGCAAGGUAGGUUUUAACAUAUUUUUUCCUAAUUUUUUUUUCCUCCUUUCAGUAAGAAGGAUAAGCUUUUAGAGUACCCAGUCACCGUGGUAACUGCCAAAAAAAUUCUCCUGAAGUUUGAAGAGGUCAGCUAGCAGGGUCAACAACUCUGGCCUCUCUCUGAGCUCGGUCUAGCAUGCCCCAGCCUGCGGUUGGAGUGUCAGGCCAGAUCUGACCCUGGGAGGUGGACUAUUCCGGCUCUGAUAUAAAUUUUUUGAGUCAGUUCAUGGCCUGGACUCUCCAGGUGGCCUCUAAAAUCGAUUUUGACCCCCUGACCCUGUCUCACGGAGGCAUAGCAUCCACCCUAAGUAAGGAUUUAGCCAGGAAUGACAGCUUUCCACUGAGUGUUAUUGGGGACAGUAUAAACAGUUUGGAAAGCAAGGAAGGAGGUGUGAGUGCUAGAAAUCAUUAAAAGCACAUUAAAAAACAAUUAAAUUUUUCUUUGCUUAAAAUAUUUAAUAUGUAUAUUUGUUAUAUAAUUCUACGUGUUUUGUAAGAUUUUUUAAAUAAAAAAAGUGUUGAAUAUAAAAACUCAAUGAACUACACAUCUUCAUCCUUUUAUAUACUUUGUUACAAAUAUGCAAAUAAGAUAGCCUGACUUGCAACAAAAUAGGUUCAGCAGGGAUGUAACAUGUAGGGAAAAGAGAAGCUAGUUAUUAAAAUACAUUAAUAGAUAAAGAGUUUCAAGUAUUGUAAAUAUUACAUUUCAUGUGCUUCUGUCUUGAAAUGUUUAAAAUGGGAAAAUAUGGAAUCUUAAAAAAAAAGUCUGGAAUGAAGAUAAACUUGCGCUUCACUUUAAGUGCCUUUCUACUUUGUAAAACAAAUAGGCACUCAUUUGGAUACAAUGAGAUAAACAUUAUAAAUAGAGGAAAUAAGAUCUUAUAGAGCUAAAGAGGAAAAAGCAAUAAAUUAAUAGUGUCUCCAAAUCAACUUUAAGUAUUUUCAAUAGUUUAAGAUAUCAGAAGCUUGCAAAGUAUAAUAGUAAUAAUGUGUGUAAAUCAUCAGUGAUUCUCCUCUUCCUUCUUCUUCUCCCUUGCCCCCUCCCCAAGAUGCCAAACUGAAAGUUUUAUUUUCUCCAGUAAAGUAGAGUUCCCUUUGAGCAUGUACUCAGUAUGUAAAUGUGGUCAUCAAGCAAGGCGGAACUGCCGAGAGGGAAGAUUUUGAAUGUUUCUUUCUCAAAACCUUUCACAGCAUUCCUGCUUCCAGUGGUACUUUACGCAGUUUCCCCCAUUUCCCAGCACUGUUGAAAUGGCACUGAAGCAACGCUGCAGUAGAUAAACCAAUUGUACUGUGGAGUUGUUGAGAUGACAUUUCAUCUGAAUCCUUUGUAAAAGUUAGAUUUUAAAUAGGGGUGAAUGUCCUUUCGGGAGAGGGGACAAGGGAGGAUGGAAGAAGAGGAGGAGGGGACUGAGCAGUUUAUAUACAUAUAUACUCUUUGUGUUUGAAGGCCUCUGUGUCUUAGCUUCUCACUAUGUUAAAUCCCUAUUAUAAAACUUAUCUUCACAAAGCCUAUUAUAGUAUUCUGAGAACAAAUUGGACCAUGAAUAACUUAGUUGGAAGUGUAGAUUAUUUUCUACUCAGGGAAAGUUAGAGAUGACAACAGCUUAACUAAAAGAAUAGUGAUUAACCUUAAAUAGAUGGAUUUCAAAGUUUCACUUUUGAUAAAGAGUACCUUUGAUAUUUCCCCUCUUCAGAUUCAUAUUUCCACUUUCUUUGUGUUAAGAAUUGUCCUAGUGAUUACACUGUCCACCUAAUAUAGCAUGGCUCUAACUGUAGAUCCUUUUCUUGCAGGUUGCUAAUCUGAGAGGGGACCAGAAAGACACUCUACUUCCUAUAGGUUAAAUAUAUGGUUCUGAAGUGGUCCCGCGCUUAGACAUCAAACUCACUGUUGGGAAUGAUAUCUUGCAUAAAUCAUAAUUCCUCAGCUAGAUAAAAUUAUUAUUGAAAAACAUCUUAGUUUUAUUUAAUGCCUUAGAGUUUACAAGGCACUUCUCAAUUCAUAAUUUUGUUUGAUCCAUAGAAUAAUGUCAUGAAAUAAAUAUCAUUAAUGCCAUUUUGCCAAGGAGACAGCUGAGUCAUUUGCACACUCUGAUCCACCUGAUAAAUGGAACUAGGAUAGCUCUCUUUAUGGCUUUCUAUUUCAAUUGAUUAACCUAUAGCAAUAGGCUUUUUAAUUUUUUAAAAGUUUUAUUGGAGUAUAGUUGAUUUAGAAUGUUGUGUUGUGUUAUUUAGGCUUUUUUAUUUUUAUUUCUAUAUCUCUGAAAAAUCAAGAUUUUAUAUCAAAGAGCAAAGUUUUUAUAUGUCACAGACAAAAAGGUUAAAAGACCCAAUUUUAAAAAUUCUAUUCACUGAGAAGUAAAUUUUGCUAAUUAUUGUUUUUCUUUGUGUGUGUGUAUCUGUCUGUCUAUCUAUCUACCUAUCCAUCUGUCAAUGUAUCGGUCUUUUAGAAUGGAAAGUCUUAAUCUUUAAAAAUCAAACAUGAACAGCCUUAUAUAAAUUAAAUAACUACCUUGAAUUUUUUAAAAUGUACAAGAAAACCGUAGAUUGUAUGUAUAUUUCAAAACAAAAUGUAAUAAUAAAUAUGCUUUUAGAAGUAGGUUAUGCAUAUUAAGUAAUUAUUUGAGAGCAUACCAUUGAUUAAAUUCUGCAGUGUUAUAGGUAAGGUUUCCCUUCUAGAUUUUUUUUUCAGCUCUAUUGAAAUAUAAUUUACAAAAUUGUAAGAUAUUUAAAAUGUACACCGUGAUGAUUUGAUAGAAGCAUACACUGUGAAAGUGUUUUUCCCAUCUAGUUAAUUAACACAUCCAUCACCUUCUGUAUUUAUCUUUUUUUUAAAAGAAGACAUUUAAGUUCUGCUCUCUUAACAAAUUUCGAUUAUUCAUACAGUGUUAUCAACUAUAGUCACUAUGUUACACAUUACAUUUUCAGACCUUAUUCAUCUUAUAGCUGAAAGUUUGUACCAUUUUAUCAACCUCUCUCUAAUUUCCUCACUCCCCAGCUCUGCCCUUUUUAGCAUUUAUAGACUGGUAUCUUUUGAUGUCUUAACAAGACUGAAUAAACAAAGUUGUGAAGG